CUGCAAUAUAAUGAGGGGUCAUUCGGUAAAAUAUGUGGGGAAUUGCCAAAGUUAGCGAAUUUAAUGUAAAAUGUUACUUUUUCCUGUGCCUGUUAAUAACGUAAUUAUUUCUCUGGUACAGCAGUGUAUGCUGGGUAAUCAGACUGUAAGCUCAGUCCCCCAUGUAGUCCCCUACUGGACAAACCCUGUAAUGUGACGUGGGAAACCCCUUACAUUUGUAACCGCAUAAAUACUGUGACCUGUGAUUAAAACCUCAGUUGACCUCCAAGCUAUGU
Non-coding RNA from Pelobates cultripes (western spadefoot toad), 275 nucleotides. The record is from the annotation of a GenBank genome assembly. Lineage: Eukaryota; Metazoa; Chordata; Amphibia; Anura; Pelobatidae.